CAGCCGCCGCGGUAAUACGUAGGGGGCAAGCGUUAUCCGGAAUAACUGGGCGUAAAGGGUGCGCAGGUGGUUUAACAAGUUAGUGGUGAAAGGCAUAGGCUCAACCAAUGUAAGCCAUUAAAACUGUUUAACUUGAGUGCAGGAGAGGAAAGUGGAAUUCCUAGUGUAGCGGUGAAAUGCGUAGAUAUUAGGAGGAAUACCAGUGGCGAAGGCGACUUUCUGGACUGCAACUGACACUGAGGCACGAAAGCGUGGGGAGCAAACAGGAUUAGAUACCCCCGUAGUCCCUGUCUCUUAUACA
Molecule: ribosomal RNA, 301 nt
Filed under: uncultured bacterium
Lineage: Bacteria
Description: partial 16S ribosomal RNA
Rfam family: Bacterial small subunit ribosomal RNA
Source: RNAcentral